Non-coding RNA from Trametes cingulata, 87 nucleotides. The record is from the annotation of a GenBank genome assembly. NCBI's taxonomy places the organism in Eukaryota, Fungi, Basidiomycota, Agaricomycetes, Polyporales, Polyporaceae.
GGCCGGCUGGCCUAAUGGUUAAGGCGUCAGUUUCCGGUUCCGACUCUUUCCAGCUGAAGAUUCUGGGUUCGACUCCCAGGUUGGUCG